This 66-nucleotide microRNA precursor is filed under the name Mus caroli (Ryukyu mouse). RNAcentral describes it as "miRNA (MGP_CAROLIEiJ_G0008035.1)". The record is from RNAcentral. Lineage: Eukaryota; Metazoa; Chordata; Mammalia; Rodentia; Muridae.
UGUGAAUGUGUGUGCAUGAAUACACGCAUGUACACACACACACACGUGUACACGCAUACACACACA